GGCAGAAGAUUCCCUCUAAACUGCUUUUUCUUUGUCUGUUUGCACUGCAGAAGAUUCACUCUCUGCUGCACAAGAUUCCCUAUGUACUGCUUUUUCUUUGCUUUUUUCAGAAACACCCUGUCUAGAUUCCUUUACCUCUUGUGUACUCCCACCACUUUGUUCCCCAUUUGGGUCUUCAUUGAGCUCUUCUAUCAUAACACUUUUUUUUAAAAAAAUUUAAAUUUUAUGUUGUCUCCAUUGUUUGCAUUUCCCACCAAUAAGAGCAAUAACCCCAUAAUUGUCAUCAAGCUCCUCAAUCACAACUUCUUUGUUAUGCAAAAUAUCAGCUUCUAAAUCAACAAAUAGAUUUGAUCUUGAUUGACUACAACACCAAUCCUCAUUACUAUCAACCCCAUGAUGCAGGAAGAUGUCUAUUAGCCUUGUCUCUGGUACAAAUACAAGCAUGUCUAUGACAUCUUGAUCAUCAUUAAGCUUGGUUAGGCCACCAUUGCUAUAGGUAGGGAUACUAUACCAGUAACUAAUCACCCCAUCAUAGCCUAACUCCCUUACCAUAUUGUCUAUCUCAAUCAUUGACAUUCUAUCAUUGUCACAAUAAUAAAACCAAGCUACAUUGCCACAAGCAUAACAGUUACC
Molecule: long non-coding RNA, 633 nt
Filed under: Prunus persica (peach)
Lineage: Eukaryota; Viridiplantae; Streptophyta; Magnoliopsida; Rosales; Rosaceae
Description: long non-coding RNA (PPER_LNC006935)
Source: RNAcentral